AACGAACGCUGGCGGCAUGCCUAACACAUGCAAGUCGAACGAGACCUUCGGGUCUUGGGGCGCACGGGUGCGUAACGCGUGGGAACCUGCCCUUAGGUUAGGAAUAACUCCCCGAAAGGGAUGCUAAUACCGGAUAAUGUCUUCGGACCAAAGAUUUAUCGCCUUUGGAUGGGCCCGCGUUGGAUUAGCUAGUUGGUAGGGUAAAAGCCUACCAAGGCGACGAUGCAUAGCUGGUCUGAGAGGAUGAUCAGCCACACUGGGACUGAGACACGGCCCAGACUCCUACGGGAGGCAGCAGUGGGGAAUAUAGGACGAUGGGCGAAAGCCUGAUCCAGCAAUGCCGCGUAAGUGAUGAAGGCCGUAGGGUUGUAAUGCUCUUUUACCCGGGAUGAUAAUGACAGUACCGGGUGAAUAAGCUCCGGCUAACUCCGUG
Molecule: ribosomal RNA, 433 nt
Filed under: uncultured bacterium
Lineage: Bacteria
Description: partial 16S ribosomal RNA
Rfam family: Bacterial small subunit ribosomal RNA
Source: RNAcentral